UAUGGGUUAGUGGCGGUCGGGUGAGUAACGCGUGGGUAACCUGCCUUACACAGGGGGAUAACACUUAGAAAUAGGUGCUAAAACCGCAUAAGCGCACAGCUUCGCAUGAAGCGGUGUGAAAAACUCCGGUGGUGUAAGAUGGACCCGCGUCUGAUUAGCUUGUUGGCGGGGUAACGGCCCACCAAGGCGACGAUCAGUAGCCGACCUGAGAGGGUGACCGGCCACAUUGGGACUGAGACACGGCCCAAACUCCUACGGGAGGCAGCAG
RNAcentral lists this ribosomal RNA (268 nucleotides) under uncultured bacterium. RNAcentral's name for it is "partial 16S ribosomal RNA". It matches the Rfam family "Bacterial small subunit ribosomal RNA", at positions 86 to 354 of the family's 1533-position model. The record is from RNAcentral.